UGGGGAAUAUUGCACAAUGGGCGCAAGCCUGAUGCAGCCAUGCCGCGUGUGUGAAGAAGGCCUUCGGGUUGUAAAGCACUUUCAGCGAGGAGGAAGGUGGUGAGCUUAAUACGCUCAUCAAUUGACGUUACUCGCAGAAGAAGCACCGGCUAACUCCGUGCCAGCAGCCGCGGUAAUACGGAGGGUGCAAGCGUUAAUCGGAAUUACUGGGCGUAAAGCGCACGCAGGCGGUUUGUUAAGUCAGGUGUGAAAUCCCCGGGCUCAACCUGGGAACUGCAUUUGAAACUGGCAAGCUAGAGUCUCGUAGAGGGGGGUAGAAUUCCAGGUGUAGCGGUGAAAUGCGUAGAGAUCUGGAGGAAUACCGGUGGCGAAGGCGGCCCCCUGGACGAAGACUGACGCUCAGGUGCGAAAGCGUGGGGCAGCAAACAGGAUUAGAUACCCCUGGUAGUCCACGCUGUAAAACGAUGUCGAUUUUGGAGGUUGUGCCCCUUGAGGCGUGGNUUCCGGAGCUAACGCGUUAAAUCGACCGCC
This 531-nucleotide ribosomal RNA is filed under the name uncultured bacterium. Its description in RNAcentral is "partial 16S ribosomal RNA". It matches the Rfam family "Bacterial small subunit ribosomal RNA", at positions 355 to 873 of the family's 1533-position model. The record is from RNAcentral.